This 453-nucleotide ribosomal RNA is filed under the name uncultured bacterium. RNAcentral's name for it is "partial 16S ribosomal RNA". It matches the Rfam family "Bacterial small subunit ribosomal RNA", at positions 338 to 786 of the family's 1533-position model. The record is from RNAcentral.
CCUACGGGUGGCAGCAGUGAGGAAUAUUGGUCAAUGGACGAGAGUCUGAACCAGCCAAGUAGCGUGAAGGAUGACUGCCCUAUGGGUUGUAAACUUCUUUUAUAUGGGAAUAAAAUGUUCCACGUGUGGGAUUUUGUAUGUACCAUAUGAAUAAGGAUCGGCUAACUCCGUGCCAGCAGCCGCGGUAAUACGGAGGAUCCGAGCGUUAUCCGGAUUUAUUGGGUUUAAAGGGAGCGUAGGUGGAUUGUUAAGUCAGUUGUGAAAGUUUGCGGCUCAACCGUAAAAUUGCAGUUGAAACUGGCAGUCUUGAGUACAGUAGAGGUGGGCGGAAUUCGUGGUGUAGCGGUGAAAUGCUUAGAUAUCACGAAGAACUCCGAUUGCGAAGGCAGUUCACUGGACUGCAACUGACACUGAGGCUCGAAAGUGUGGGUAUCAAACAGGAUUAGAUAAGUC